This 105-nucleotide Y RNA is filed under the name Cercocebus atys (sooty mangabey). RNAcentral's name for it is "Y RNA (ENSCATG00000006243.1)". It matches the Rfam family "Y RNA". Rfam says of the family: Y RNAs are components of the Ro ribonucleoprotein particle (Ro RNP), in association with Ro60 and La proteins. The Y RNAs and Ro60 and La proteins are well conserved, but the function of the Ro RNP is not known. In humans the RNA component can be one of four small RNAs -- hY1, hY3, hY4 and hY5. Lineage: Eukaryota; Metazoa; Chordata; Mammalia; Primates; Cercopithecidae. The record is from Rfam by way of RNAcentral.
AGAUGGUCAGAAGGUAGUGAGUUAUCUCCAUUGAUUGUUCACAGUCAGUUAUGAACUCCUUGUUCUCUUCCCCCUCUUCUCACUACUCUACUUGUCUUUUGUUUU